RNAcentral lists this ribosomal RNA (2291 nucleotides) under Salmonella enterica. RNAcentral's name for it is "partial 23S ribosomal RNA". It matches the Rfam family "Bacterial large subunit ribosomal RNA", at positions 743 to 2925 of the family's 2925-position model. The record is from RNAcentral. Lineage: Bacteria; Pseudomonadati; Pseudomonadota; Gammaproteobacteria; Enterobacterales; Enterobacteriaceae. RNAcentral also lists the same sequence under 1 other name.
GGUUGAAGGUUGGGUAACACUAACUGGAGGACCGAACCGACUAAUGUUGAAAAAUUAGCGGAUGACCUGUGGCUGGGGGUGAAAGGCCAAUCAAACCGGGAGAUAGCUGGUUCUCCCCGAAAGCUAUUUAGGUAGCGCCUCGUGAAUUCAUCUCCGGGGGUAGAGCACUGUUUCGGCUAGGGGGCCAUCCCGGCUUACCAACCCGAUGCAAACUGCGAAUACCGGAGAAUGUUAUCACGGGAGACACACGGCGGGUGCUAACGUCCGUCGUGAAGAGGGAAACAACCCAGACCGCCAGCUAAGGUCCCAAAGUCAUGGUUAAGUGGGAAACGAUGUGGGAAGGCCCAGACAGCCAGGAUGUUGGCUUAGAAGCAGCCAUCAUUUAAAGAAAGCGUAAUAGCUCACUGGUCGAGUCGGCCUGCGCGGAAGAUGUAACGGGGCUAAACCAUGCACCGAAGCUGCGGCAGCGAACGUAUCACCCAAGACAACUUUACGGAGUUGACGAUUGACGGAGCGAAGCGACGUCAAAGCGUUCAUUAAAGUCGAGUUGGCUUAGGGAUACGUUCGUUGGGUAGGGGAGCGUUCUGUAAGCCUGUGAAGGUGUGUCGUGAGGCAUGCUGGAGGUAUCAGAAGUGCGAAUGCUGACAUAAGUAACGAUAAAGCGGGUGAAAAGCCCGCUCGCCGGAAGACCAAGGGUUCCUGUCCAACGUUAAUCGGGGCAGGGUGAGUCGACCCCUAAGGCGAGGCCGAAAGGCGUAGUCGAUGGGAAACGGGUUAAUAUUCCCGUACUUGGUGUUACUGCGAAGGGGGGACGGAGAAGGCUAUGUUGGCCGGGCGACGGUUGUCCCGGUUUAAGCGUGUAGGUGUGUGUUCCAGGUAAAUCCGGUUCACUUUAACACUGAGGCGUGACGACGAGGCACUACGGUGCUGAAGCAACAAAUGCCCUGCUUCCAGGAAAAGCCUCUAAGCAUCAGGUAACAUCAAAUCGUACCCCAAACCGACACAGGUGGUCAGGUAGAGAAUACCAAGGCGCUUGAGAGAACUCGGGUGAAGGAACUAGGCAAAAUGGUGCCGUAACUUCGGGAGAAGGCACGCUGACACGUAGGUGAAGUGAUUUACUCAUGGAGCUGAAGUCAGUCGAAGAUACCAGCUGGCUGCAACUGUUUAUUAAAAACACAGCACUGUGCAAACACGAAAGUGGACGUAUACGGUGUGACGCCUGCCCGGUGCCGGAAGGUUAAUUGAUGGGGUCAGCGCAAGCGAAGCUCCUGAUCGAAGCCCCGGUAAACGGCGGCCGUAACUAUAACGGUCCUAAGGUAGCGAAAUUCCUUGUCGGGUAAGUUCCGACCUGCACGAAUGGCGUAAUGAUGGCCAGGCUGUCUCCACCCGAGACUCAGUGAAAUUGAACUCGCUGUGAAGAUGCAGUGUACCCGCGGCAAGACGGAAAGACCCCGUGAACCUUUACUAUAGCUUGACACUGAACAUUGAGCCUUGAUGUGUAGGAUAGGUGGGAGGCUUUGAAGUGUGGACGCCAGUCUGCAUGGAGCCGACCUUGAAAUACCACCCUUUAAUGUUUGAUGUUCUAACGUGGACCCGUUACCCGGGUUGCGGACAGUGUCUGGUGGGUAGUUUGACUGGGGCGGUCUCCUCCUAAAGAGUAACGGAGGAGCACGAAGGUUGGCUAAUCCUGGUCGGACAUCAGGAGGUUAGUGCAAUGGCAUAAGCCAGCUUGACUGCGAGCGUGACGGCGCGAGCAGGUGCGAAAGCAGGUCAUAGUGAUCCGGUGGUUCUGAAUGGAAGGGCCAUCGCUCAACGGAUAAAAGGUACUCCGGGGAUAACAGGCUGAUACCGCCCAAGAGUUCAUAUCGACGGCGGUGUUUGGCACCUCGAUGUCGGCUCAUCACAUCCUGGGGCUGAAGUAGGUCCCAAGGGUAUGGCUGUUCGCCAUUUAAAGUGGUACGCGAGCUGGGUUUAGAACGUCGUGAGACAGUUCGGUCCCUAUCUGCCGUGGGCGCUGGAGAACUGAGGGGGGCUGCUCCUAGUACGAGAGGACCGGAGUGGACGCAUCACUGGUGUUCGGGUUGUCAUGCCAAUGGCACUGCCCGGUAGCUAAAUGCGGAAGAGAUAAGUGCUGAAAGCAUCUAAGCACGAAACUUGCCCCGAGAUGAGUUCUCCCUGAGACUUAGAGUCUCCUGAAGGAACGUUGAAGACGACGACGUUGAUAGGCCGGGUGUGUAAGCGCAGCGAUGCGUUGAGCUAACCGGUACUAAUGAACCGUGAGGCUUAACCUU